Salvelinus fontinalis (brook trout) is the source of this 3934-nucleotide long non-coding RNA. RefSeq lists it as uncharacterized. The transcript has 2 exons. NCBI's taxonomy places the organism in Eukaryota, Metazoa, Chordata, Actinopteri, Salmoniformes, Salmonidae. The record is from RefSeq and is a predicted model, not a curated record.
UGUUCAUUAUAUACAUCUACAUGAUGUAUUGUUACACCAUGUUGGAGCAGUAUAGACCUAGUCUGUUCAUUAUAUACAUCUACAUGACGUAUUGUUACACCAUGUAGGAGCAGUAUGGACCUACAGUAGCUUGCUAAUUAUUUAGAUUUAGUUUGACUUAAUGAAACUGCCUUAAAUGUGCUGUAGUAAACAUUUUUUAUCCACACUAAUCAAUCAACACAUUCCUGUCUUUGUAUGUCUCAAUAUAAUGGUAUUAUUUAAUUAAAUCCAUUUAAAAUAAUCUUUGUCUGAAAAUAAAAUAUGAUCCUCAACUGCGUUUCCCCUCCAGUCAGCAGACGGCGAUGUGCGUCUUUCAGGCGACGCUGCCAGCGUGACGUAUAAUCUAGUGGACGGUUCUUCAUAAACAGCUCGUCAACCACCUCCGUAGCUUGCUAGCCAACAUAGCCGAACGAUUCAAGCUAUUUAUACGCUUUCGGUGUAUAUUAGCUGCUGUGUUUUCGACACACUUAGGUCGUAUCUACUUGUUAACCUAUUUAAUAUUACGUUAUUUUGUAUUAGUCAGCUAUAGUAGCUGGCUGGUUAAGUUAGCACUAGCCUAGUCGCUAAUGAUAGCUAGCUAGCUAACAUCCCUGAACAUGAGCUCCCUAAACUUCUCCCCUCUCGUUGAAGAAGAGGAUAAGGUCUGCUGGACGGAGAAAGGAGGUCUGUGGCUGAACAUUAACGUGAAAGAGGAGGAGGAAGAAGAGGAUGUCACAGUAAAACAAGAAGUAGAGGGUGAGGCUGUUACAGUGAAAGAAGAAGAGAAAGACGUUUCAGUGAAAGAAGAGGAAGACGCGUUCAGAGUUAAAGAGGAGGAAGAUGAGAAAGAGGAGGAUGUAGUUUUUGGUGUGAAAGAGGAGGGGGAGAUUACUGUCACAUUGGAGGAAGAAGAGGAGGUUGGAGAUCCGUUUAACCCCAGUAAGUACCGUCUCUGCAGUCAUUGAACCAAUAUGCAGUAAAGGGGUUCUACACUUUAAUGUUGUUCUGUAGGAAUGGCUGAAGCUACACUGUAACGUGUAGAACAUCAAGAGUGGACCAUCAACAAAACGUUAACAAUUGAUCAAAUGCAUCCAAUGACAAUGCCUGAAAUACUGUAGUCCUCAAUAUCUCCUAUUAGAUUCGCCCAAUAUGUAGUCUUAAAGGGGCAAUCAGCAGUUGUUACAUCCAUUUUGGGACUUAUACAUUAAUGAUAUGUACCCAUUGUUUCUUGAAGAAUUCCCUUAUAAAUGCCUCAUGAGCUUAGUUCAACUGUUGUACCCCAUCAGAACCCAAAAUAUAAGCAUUUAUUUUACUCCAAUGUUAGUCAGUAAAUAUAAACAAACACUGUAUAUCCUCAAAACGUGGUUAUAACUAGAAUGUUGAUAUCAUGAAUGGUUGCAUUUCUCCAGCCCCAUCCCUCAGCUUUUUACCGAAACAGGCAGGGAGUACGCUUUGAUAUUGUUUCUACUGCUGAUUGCUGCCCCCGUUACUCCUCAAGGUCCAAGGACUGUAUGUUAUUUUCAGAGGUAGACUGGCUCUGGCAGCUAAAAUAGUCAAAUAUUCCAUCUAAAUGUGAAUCGAUUCUCAACGGGCAGGGAGUACGCUUUGUUAUUGUUUCUACUCCUGAUUCUCUGCCCCAGUUACUCCUCAAAAUAAUUUCACAUAAUACUUUCAUAUCACAUAACAAUUAUUUCACACAAUACUUUCAUAUCACAUCAAAAUAAUUUUAAAUACUUUAACAUCAAAAUAAUUUCACACAAUACUUUCAUAUCACAUCUAAAUAGGUAACCAGUCUGUAUAGAUAGAUAGCUAAGUGAAUUAAAUAUCAUCAGCUGUCUAACUUCAUAUUAGCUAGCUAUCUUGAUGUAUUUAUCACUAUAAAAAAACAAACUCCAAAUGCAUUUGAAGGUAGCUAGCUAACAACCAUGGAGGGUGAAAGGAUAGCAGCCCCAACUGUCAGUGAGAGAGGAGGCUAUUCUGGAUAGGGCAGGUACUUUUGUGUAGUUCCUGUCCCUAGAAGUGAGGACGGCGAUAAUAGUAACAUAAUAUUCAGUGUGGUGUAAUUUGACUAUAAUGAAGUGAGUUUCUUGUGAGGUUUUCUGUCCUCAGAUAAAGAGCGCUAUGAAAGCCAGUCUACAUAUGAAGAGGUCCCAAUGAAGAGCAGUGGUUCUCAGUCCUGGGGACUCAAAGAGGCACAUUGUUGUUUUUGCCUCAGCACUGCACAGCUGAUUCAAAUGAUCAACUUAUCAUCAAGCUUCAAGUGGUAUUUAUGUAGUCAUUUGUGAUGCCAUCCUUGAUAUGAUCCUGUUAUUGUCACAUGCUACACAUGUACAUAUAUGUGCCCAUGCAUCUAUCAAUCCAAUGUUAUCAUGAUUUGUUAUCAGGGAUAUUAUACUUUAGUAAUCCACAAUGACCUGGUGAUGUAACAGUCUAAUAAUGACAUUGUCUUCCAUAUUCCUACAGAUACCUUGUAACUGGAGAUUCCUUCAAAACGAUUGCCUACAGUUGCCGUGUAGGGCACUGCAAGGUUGGGUGACCAGGGUCAUCUGGGAUUGCCUCCUAGAGGAAUUCAGGUGUGUGAAAGCUACCUGUGUCCUGCGUAACUUCAUGAGGAUGGACACGCGGACCAGGAGGGGAUCUGCAGCUCGCCGCCGUGUCCCAGAGGAGGAGUCUGCUGCUCUGCAGGAUGUUUCAAGGAUGGGGUCCAACCACGCAGCAAGAGAGGCAAUCCGUGUUCGGGAGAUCUUCACCUCCUACUUCUUCAAAGAGGGUGCUGUUCCCUGGCAACACCAUAGACUACACUAUGCACAACCAAAGGCUCUUUUAAGAGGGUACUGUUCCCUGGCAACACCAUAGACUACACUAUGCUCAACCAAAGACUCUUUUAAGAGGGUGCUGUUCCCUGGCAACACCAUAGACUACACUAUGCACAACCAAAGGCUCUUUUAAGAGGGUGCUGUUCCCUAGCAACACCAUAGACUACACUAUGCACAACCAAAGGCUCUUUUAAGAGGGUGCUGUUCCCUAGCAACACCAUAGACUACACUAUGCUCAACCAAAGACUCUUUUAAGAGGGUGCUGUUCCCUGGCAACACCAUAGACUACACUAUGCACAACCAAAGGCUCUUUUAAGAGCCAUUCACAUUGAAAUAAGAGUAUUCUUCCAUUUACUUAGCAAUGUCAACUGCAGUUAUUCAAUUCACAGUUUCUCUCCCUUUAACUGUGGCUCCUUCCACCUUCAAAGAAUAGGCAAGAGGGCCAACCAUGGAGAAUAGUAAGACACUUCAUUAUUUCUAUAACUACGCUAUAUUGUUUGUCUUUGUGUGCCCGUUCAUGUUUUUCAGCAUAAAGUACUCUGCAGCCACUUAGUGUGGUGUGGACACCAGGUGAGGCCACACACAGAUUCCUGUUGAACACUGUGGCUUUAACUACCUUAUUUUCUCAAUAACAGUCUCUCUCCUUCACUUCAUCCCUCUCUCCUCUUCUCCCUAAGUCCUCUAGGUUAUAUCAGCUGUGUCGGUGAACCCCUCCUGCAUCUGAACUGGCUACAUAGAGGGCACAGCAUGAUCAGAGAUAUGUUUUUAUGUGAGAGGAUGCCAAACCCCAGUCCCAUCAUCGCCACCUCACCUGCUUUUAAGAUAACCUUUGGGCCGACUAGAGACACUAUUAUGUAAUUGUGAUGAACUGAGAGAAUAUUUAUGUAGCACUGUGAUUCAUUAAUCAUGUGCUGCCUUCCCUGCUCCUAUGUGCUUACCUCUUUCCCUUUCUGUCUUUUACACCUCUCUCUCCACCUCUUUCUUCCUCUGUUUUUAUAAUGCACAACAGAUGUGCAUUGAAGUACAGAUUAAACUUGUAUUUAUAUCACUUGGAUAAUGAGCUUUUCAAUAAAGCGUUUCACAUUCUCUACUGGUUGAAA